GAUGAAGAACGCAGCGAAAUGCGAUAAGUAAUGUGAAUUGCAGAAUUCAGUGAAUCAUCGAAUCUUUGAACGCACAUUGCGCCCGCCAGCAUUCUGGCGGGCAUGCCUGUUCGAGCGUCAUUUCAACCCUCGAGCCCCCCCGGGGGCCUCGGUGUUGGGGGACGGCACACCAGCCGCCCCCGAAAUGCAGUGGCGACCCCGCCGCAGCCUCCCCUGCGUAGUAGCACACACCUCGCACCGGAGCGCGGAGGCGGUCACGCAGUAAAACGCCCAACUUUCUUAGAGUUGACCUCGGAUCAGGUAGGAAUACCCGCUGAACUUAAGCAUAUCAAUAAGCGGAGGA
RNAcentral lists this unclassified non-coding RNA (343 nucleotides) under soil metagenome. RNAcentral describes it as "partial contains 5.8S ribosomal RNA, internal transcribed spacer 2, and large subunit ribosomal RNA". The stretch from base 1 to 120 matches the Rfam family "5.8S ribosomal RNA", at positions 35 to 154 of the family's 154-position model. The record is from RNAcentral.